GGAUCCUGUUACUCCAAAUACAAAUACAGCCGAUAGGCCAAUUACAUGAUUUUAUUUUAUUUUUAUUCCUCUUGCAAGUAGAGAUGAGAGGAAAAAUUGUCAAAUGACACUUGUUUCGGGAUGAUGAAGACCGUCAUGGCGGUGAGAUGACGAGGGAUUGAUUCAGUGACAGAUGUCCACGAGGCAACAAGAGGUGCAGGUGGAUUAACGGCGUGUGCAUGGGGCAGAGUCGCUGAGAGGUGGGAGAACAUUGGAAGUUGUUACAGUGAAGACCAUUUUCAAGUUCUGAAAGUUCUGAGGAUUGUGUUGAGUAGCUUUCCCAACAAAUUCUGGAUCGCCUACAUGGAUAAUUUCUCGCCACUCCAUUUGGUUCAUUGUUAGAUAUAUAUUGGAAAGUUGCAGUAAGUUCAGGAUCUCCGAUGUGUAGCAUGACAACCUGCUUUCGACAGUCUUGAAGUUUUGAUUGCACUGCAAAGCACCCCUCUGUUACCCCUGUUGCUAGGGCGCAUCUAAAAGGGACUGUCUUCAUUGUAGAGUGAAUAAUAUUUUCUGAUAUCUGCAUUCGCAAGUCCAAACUUAUAUUGUCGAACAAAG
This 594-nucleotide long non-coding RNA is filed under the name Olea europaea subsp. europaea. The record is from RNAcentral. Lineage: Eukaryota; Viridiplantae; Streptophyta; Magnoliopsida; Lamiales; Oleaceae.